RNAcentral lists this unclassified non-coding RNA (2137 nucleotides) under Hevea brasiliensis (rubber tree). The record is from RNAcentral. Lineage: Eukaryota; Viridiplantae; Streptophyta; Magnoliopsida; Malpighiales; Euphorbiaceae.
UAUAAUUCAAUUAUAUAAAUCUCACACUCAAUGAACCACAUGCUAGAGUAGAUUUUGCUUUGGCCAUGUAAUGAUAAGGAAAAGGGUAAUUUAUAAAAUAGUCCCUGAAGUAUGUCAAAAUAUAUAAGUCAGCCCCUUUCAUAAAAAACCUCAUGAUUACAUCCUUAAUGUUUAAUUUUGUUAACAAAUUAGUCCUUCCAUCCAAAAUCACCACAAUUUAUCAUUAGUCCAAGCGAAAACAGGAGUCAAGACCUAAAAAAGGUAGAAUUCCAAAAUUAUUCUUACCUAAUAUCUCUCUUUCUCUAAUCUCCUCCUCCCUCUUCCUCUCUCUCGAGUUUCUCUCCCCCUUUUUGUAGUUUCUUCAUCUCCCUUCCAAUUUUAUGACACUUUGCCUCUUCAAUGCUAUGCAAGGGAAGGUGAACAAAUAACCUUGUGAUCACAUGUACACAGAUACCAAGGUUAAAGGCCAUAUUUAGGUAUCAAGGCAACCACAAUAUACAUGGCAAAGGAGGUUCCAAUAAGAUUGAUCUGCCCUACUUACCCGUUGUUUGGAUUGAGGGGUUAUGGUGGUAAGGGAAAGUAAGAUAUGGUUUUAAGGAAUUUUUUUCUUGUUUGGGAUGGACAGUUGAGGAAUAGGGAGGGUUUUAGGGGGUUAUUCAACUCCAAUCCCCCCAAAACCUUCCAAUUUCUAACCCACCAAUUUGGUGGGUUGAGGAGAGUUAAAAAAAUUUUUAUUUUUUGAUUUCUUAUAUUACCCAUAUCAAUUUUAAAAAAUCUCCAAAAUAUUCCUUCUUGCUAUAAAAUAAUAAGUUUCAUAAAAAUGAUAGUUUUGUAAUUUUUAUAUUUAACCUUACCUUCCAAUACUAUCUAACCAAACAAAAUAAGGUUAUAAAACCUUCAUUUACGUUACCUUCCUCCCAAAUAUAAAUAAAACUAUUCUCUUACCUUACCAUACCAUAUCUUCAUUUACCUUACCUUACCUUACCUUAUUUUACUAAACCUCCCUUUACUCCAUCCAAACAAACCCUUAAGGGAAAAGAGAAGAAUCAAAUAAGUGAACUCUAAAAGGCUCCUUAUUGUUAGAGUUGCUUAUGGGAUGGAAAUUUGCAUUGGACAAUAGAGAGACAAGGCCAAUAUUACCAUUGCUCCUACUCCUAUGGAUAAACCUAAGUUUAAUUUAGGCAAUCUUCUUUGACAUUGUGAACGCAUUCUUGGUCCACUACACCAAUAGCUUUGAGUCAUGCAAAAUGAUGACCAUGCAUUAUGUUGAUUAAAAGGGAGGUUGGAAAAGAAAGGGUUUAUCAAACAUCAAAUUGUCCAAAGGGGUAGAGUGGAUGGAAACCAUAACUUUAGCAAGCCUUGAAGUGGUGAAAUUGUGAAAGAGCCUACUAGAGAAAAAGCUAAUUUGCCUAAACCCAUCCAAUCUGUCCUUGAAGUGGUGAAGGAUGUGCCAUGGAGAGGACCACCCAAAAGAGAGGUGGUAUCUAAUUUUCCACAUAAGGGAUGAGUGAAACCCAAGGUUGAGUUAGGACCAAAGAAGGCCUUCUUAAGGUGCAAAUUUUAACAACUAUGGCAACAAGCACAUAAUUCCUCUAUCUAUAUCUUUCUUUCUACUUUUGUGAGAUAUUCUCAAUACAUAUUAUCCAAAAUUAUAAAUCUUCAAUUGCUCUUCGACGCUCUUUCUUAGCAAAACAAUCAGUCUUUGAAAUUCCAAUGGUCCAACAUCACCCUCAUACCAAUUCAAAGAAAAUUAUUAGGUUCAAGUUAGCCAAAGAGUUGCUAUACCACACUAUUCGCCAUUUAUACUAUUGAAUAAUCUAUACAUUCCUAUUCUAAAACUUCCCCUCAAGUUGAAGCGUACAUAUUGUAUACUCCUAACUUGUUACAGAUAUACUCAAUUCUAGUCCCUCGGAGAGAUUUAAUGAGAAUGUCAGCUAGCUAAUUAUUUGGACUGACAAAACUUGCAGCAAUACAUCCAAACUCAAUCUUUUGUCUAAUAAAGUGACAAUCUAUCUCUGUGUGCUUUGUCCUUUCAUGAAACGCAGGAUUAAAAGCGAUACGUAAUGUAGCUUGAUUAUCACAAAUCAAUUUCAUUUGUUCCUCACCUCCAUAUUUUAACUCAUGAAGAAGUUGUUUU